CGGGGUCCCGGUCCGGGCCGCCCAGGCCGAGACGUUCUUGGACAGCGUCGCGCGCAGCUCCUUGAGCCGGCGGUGGUCCGGGACGGCCGGCUCCGG
Molecule: transfer RNA, 96 nt
Filed under: Kocuria flava
Lineage: Bacteria; Bacillati; Actinomycetota; Actinomycetes; Micrococcales; Micrococcaceae
Description: tRNA-Pro
Source: RNAcentral